CCUACGGGAGGCAUCAGUGGGGAAUAUUGGACAAUGGGGGGAGCCCUGAUCCAGCCAUGCCGCGUGUGUGAAGAAGGCCUUUUGGUUGUAAAGCACUUUAAGCGAGGAGGAGGCUUACCUGGUUAAUACCUGGGCUAAGUGGACGUUACUCGCAGAAUAAGCACCGGCUAACUCUGUGCCAGCAGCCGCGGUAAUACAGAGGGUGCGAGCGUUAAUCGGGUUUACUGGGCGUAAAGCGCGCGUAGGUGGUUAAUUAAGUCAAAUGUGAAAUCCCCGAGCUUAACUUGGGAAUUGCAUUCGAUACUGGUUAGCUAGAGUAUGGGAGAGGAUGGUAGAAUUCCAGGUGUAGCGGUGAAAUGCGUAGAGAUCUGGAGGAAUACCGGUGGCGAAGGCAGCCAUCUGGCCUAAUACUGACACUGAGGUGCGAAAGCAUGGGGAGCAAACAGGAUUAGAUACCCCUGUAGUC
RNAcentral lists this ribosomal RNA (466 nucleotides) under uncultured bacterium. RNAcentral describes it as "bacterial SSU rRNA". It matches the Rfam family "Bacterial small subunit ribosomal RNA", at positions 338 to 795 of the family's 1533-position model. The record is from RNAcentral.